RNAcentral lists this ribosomal RNA (495 nucleotides) under uncultured bacterium. RNAcentral describes it as "partial 16S ribosomal RNA". It matches the Rfam family "Bacterial small subunit ribosomal RNA", at positions 28 to 507 of the family's 1533-position model. The record is from RNAcentral.
GACGAACGCUGGCGGCGUGCCUAAUACAUGCAAGUAGAACGCUGAAGGAGGAGCUUGCUUCUCUGGAUGAGUUGCGAACGGGUGAGUAACGCGUAGGUAACCUGCCUGGUAGCGGGGGAUAACUAUUGGAAACGAUAGCUAAUACCGCAUAAGAGUAGAUGUUGCAUGACAUUUGCUUAAAAGGUGCAAUUGCAUCACUACCAGAUGGACCUGCGUUGUAUUAGCUAGUUGGUGGGGUAACGGCUCACCAAGGCGACGAUACAUAGCCGACCUGAGAGGGUGAUCGGCCACACUGGGACUGAGACACGGCCCAGACUCCUACGGGAGGCAGCAGUAGGGAAUCUUCGGGAAUAGACGGAAGUCUGACCGAGCAACGCCGCGGGAGUGAAGAAGGUUUUCGGAUCGUAAAGAUCUGUUGUAAGAGAAGAACGAGUGUGAGAGUGGAAAGUUCACACUGUGACGGUAUCUUACCAGAAAGGGACGGCUAACUACGUG